CGUGCCCUAUUCCACCCUAAUCGUCGAAUCCUUCCUCACCUUAUCUCGUCGCCGCCCCGAUUCUUCCUCCUCUCUCACGCCGUUUACUCUAUGCUCUUCUUCUUCUCCUCAUCUUCUCCAACCGGCGCCCCUUUCUCUUCUUCCGCGUCAUCUUCCCUCCUCUGCCGUCGUCUCCUCGUCGCGGAGGUCCUCACCACGCCGAUUGUCACGAGAGCACCGCUAGCAGCAGUCCUUCUCUCCGCGAGCCUCACCAACACCAAGCUCUCUGGGCUAUCAGGCGGCCCGAUCCUCUUCUACUUUUCCCCUUGAGUCUCUGCCCUAGAUGCAGCCGGCGUCAUCGCAUCCGACCACAGUACCUGCAAUUUUGGGCGGCUAGCGUCGCCGCCAUCUCUUUCACCGGCUGCCACUUCUUCCUCUUCCAUCUGCCACCGUCGGAGAGCUGAGUACACAGGAGAGUAGGGUUGUUCUUCCGCGUAUCAGCAGUUGCGAGGGGUUACCACGCGUUGCCCCCUUCAAUUGUGCCGUGGCCAUCCGGUCAACCACAAGGAGAUCCAUUGCUGCGGUGACCCCAUUUGUGCUUGGAUUUGUGCCACUGUCGUGUAUCGGUGAAUUCUGAGGCGGUGAGGGUUGUUGGACAGAUUUACCAUCGUCGGAAGAGCCACAAACUGCUGAUAAGGGUAGUAAUCUGAACCUGAUCAGAUUUAUUAGGUUGUUUCUUUUAUCAUGUUGGAUGUGUGUUAUGUUUCUUAUUGAAUGCUUAUAUCAAACUUGAUCUCCCUUAAUUAGAAUGCACGCACUUGGCUUUAAUUGUUUCAUGCACCCAACUUGUUUGAUAAAAUGUUCCGUAGUUAGGUUCUAAUUUUUGCAUGUCAUGUGUUCAUUUCACGUUCGGUGAAAUGUCUCUUUCAAUAGUUAGGUUCAAUCUGAUGCAUCUUAGUUUACUUAACUCUUGCUUUGUAUUGCUCUUUCAAUUGUUAAGUUUUAUGUCUUCAUUUAAAUUCAAUUAGGUUAAGUUAGAUUAGGUUUCUUUAAUGCUCUAAGUUUUGUUCCAUGCUUAGUUUCGUUAAUUACUUCAUGUUGACUAUUAUUUUCUGCAAUUGUAUUUUAUUCAUUAGGUUUGAUUUCAUAGUUGCUUUGCUAUUUCAAAUCUUAGUCUUAGAAUCCAAAAUUUUCUAUUAUCUUGUAUUUGAUUUUGUUAUAUGUACUUAGAGAUUCUAAGUUUAAGAUUCAAAUUUGAAGAAAAUCCUACUUAAGUAUUUGUUCACACUGACCUAAUUUUUAUGGUUUUGUGAUGCCUAUUGUUUCAGAGCCAAAAGAGUCUUCAUGACUUGUUAAUUCUUUAGCAUUGACAACUAUGGACUAAUUAGUGGGUGAUCAUUGAUAUUGAUUAUGACUUUUGUAUAAUUUUAAUUUAUUUGUAUUAAAAAUUUUGAUAUUGUAAGACUUGUUUCAUAUUUUGAUUUGUUAGAUUUUCUCAACAAAAUUGGUUGGUUCAUUAAUCUGUACAAGAGAAGCAAUUUAUCUCAUGGAAUUCGAAGACAGGGAGGGCAAAAGAAGAAAAUGAAGGCAUGCAUGUUAUUAGCUCGAGGAUAGAGGAACAAAUUAUUGAAAGAGAAAAAAAACUUGUUAUUAUAGAGGGAAGAAAAUCUCAAGGAGAUGAUUCGGAAAUGAUUCAAGAAAUGGAAUAUACAAAUCAUUUAUAUCUAGGAAAAUUUGAUCUUUAUAGUUUGAUUAUUGGUCAAAUUUGUUUGGAUAAUGUAAAUAUUUAUUUAUUUUAAUAUUAAUUGUAUAAUACAUUUGGAAUUA
Zingiber officinale is the source of this 1806-nucleotide long non-coding RNA. RefSeq lists it as uncharacterized. Lineage: Eukaryota; Viridiplantae; Streptophyta; Magnoliopsida; Zingiberales; Zingiberaceae. The record is from RefSeq and is a predicted model, not a curated record. The transcript has 2 exons.